RNAcentral lists this ribosomal RNA (443 nucleotides) under uncultured bacterium. RNAcentral's name for it is "partial 16S ribosomal RNA". It matches the Rfam family "Bacterial small subunit ribosomal RNA", at positions 338 to 795 of the family's 1533-position model. The record is from RNAcentral.
CCUACGGGUGGCAGCAGUGGGGAAUAUUGGGCAAUGGGCGCAAGCCUGACCCAGCAACGCCGCGUGAAGGAAGAAGGCCCUCGGGUUGGAAACUUCUUUUAUCAAGGACGAAACAAAUGACGGUACUUGAUGAAUAAGCCACGGCUAACUACGUGCCAGCAGCCGCGGUAAUACGUGGGGGGCAAGCUGUAUCCGGAUUUACUGGGUGUAAAGGGUGUGUAGGGGGGACUGCAAGUCAGAUGGGAAAACCAUGGGCUCAACCCAUGGCGUGCAGUUGAAACUGUAGUUCUUGAGUGUUGGAGAGGCAGGCGGAAUUCCGGGUGUAGCGGUGAAAUGCGUAGAUAUACGGAGGAACACCAGUGGCGAAGGCGGCCUGCUGGACAAUAACUGACGCUGAGGCGCGAAAGCGUGGGGAGCAAACAGGAUUAGAUACCCGUGUAGUC